This 388-nucleotide ribosomal RNA is filed under the name uncultured bacterium. RNAcentral's name for it is "bacterial SSU rRNA". It matches the Rfam family "Bacterial small subunit ribosomal RNA", at positions 30 to 417 of the family's 1533-position model. The record is from RNAcentral.
AUUGAACGCUGGCGGCAUGCCUUACACAUGCAAGUCGAACGGCAGCACGGGAGCAAUCCUGGUGGCGAGUGGCGAACGGGUGAGUAAUAUAUCGGAACGUGCCCGGUCGUGGGGAUGACGUAGCGAAAGUUGCGCUAAUACCGCAUACGAUCUACGGAUGAAAGUGGGGGAUCGCAAGACCUCAUGCUCAUGGAGCGGCCGAUAUCUGAUUAGCUAGUUGGUGGGGUAAAGGCCUACCAAGGCAUCGAUCAGUAGCUGGUCUGAGAGGACGACCAGCCACACUGGAACUGAGACACGGUCCAGACUCCUACGGGAGGCAGCAGUGGGGAAUUUUUGGACAAUGGGGGGCAACCCUGAUCCAGCAAUGCCGCGUGAGUGAAGAAGGCCU